GUCUAUAACCAUACCAUUCUAACACACCCAACCUUGUCUGAUCUCGGCGGCUAAGCAGGGUCAGGCCUAGUUAGUACUUGGAAGGGAAAUCUAAUACCAUUUAACAGGCUUAAAGACA
Molecule: ribosomal RNA, 118 nt
Filed under: Fukomys damarensis (Damara mole-rat)
Lineage: Eukaryota; Metazoa; Chordata; Mammalia; Rodentia; Bathyergidae
Source: RNAcentral